RNAcentral lists this transfer RNA (66 nucleotides) under Fasciola jacksoni. Its description in RNAcentral is "tRNA-Gly". The record is from RNAcentral. Lineage: Eukaryota; Metazoa; Platyhelminthes; Trematoda; Plagiorchiida; Fasciolidae.
ACUUCGGUAGUAUAAUAGGUAGUAUGUUGUCUUUCCAAGUCAAUGGACUAGGGUUUAGUCGAUGUA